GCUGAAACAUUAGCUAGAGCCUAUAAAGUGGUGUUCAAGUGCUUAUCUGGUUUGGCCAACAUGGUUUAUUUAAAUGUUACCAUUGCUUACAGCACUUCAUGAAAUGAAAACAGGAAAAUACCAUGUCUGGCACCUAAAAUACAACAUGUAGGCAGAGUUCCCAAAGCAGUUUGCAAGAGAGGCAGAAAACCCCACACUUUCCUACUCUGCCAUUUCACACUGUCAAGAAUGCAAAGUAAUGAAUGUACUUUUCUUCGCAUCUGUAUGACUUAUGGUUUCGCCCCUUUUGAUCUGCAAGUUUCAUCAGUUCCCCCACUCUUGCAUUCUCAAAUACAAAGUGACUCAGUCCCACAACAAGCAUUUUGAUAAGUCUGCAUUUCACCUAUCAGAGAAUGUUUGCCUGUCCAAGAUUGCUGGUGCUUUUACUCCUGAAAGCCUCCUUCACAAAUCCCUGCCCCCAUCAGUGCAUGUGCUCCUCUUUGGGUCCUGCAUCACUCAAGGUAGACUGUGGCUCUAGAGACCUGGAUGCCCUUCCUCUUCUGCCUAAUGCAACAGAAGAACUUUAUCUGCAGUACAACCAACUGAAAGCAAUACCUGCAGGAACAUUUG
Long non-coding RNA from Alligator sinensis (Chinese alligator), 609 nucleotides. RefSeq lists it as uncharacterized. NCBI's taxonomy places the organism in Eukaryota, Metazoa, Chordata, Crocodylia, Alligatoridae. The record is from RefSeq and is a predicted model, not a curated record. The transcript is spliced from 3 exons.